AUUCAAUUGAAGAGUUUGAUCAUGGCUCAGAUUGAACGCUGGCGGUAAGCCUUAAACAUGCAAGUCGUGCGGUAACAGACAUAAAGAUUUAGCUUGCUAAAUCCGGUGCUGACGAGCGGCGAACGGGUGAGUAACACGUAGGAAUCUACCCAGUAGCGGGGGAUAGCCCAGGGAAACUUGGAUUAAUACCGCAUAAGCCCUAUGGGGGAAAGAAGGCCUCUCUUUGAAGCUUUCACUAUUGGAUGAGCCUGCGUAAGAUUAGCUUGUUGGUGGGGUAAAAGCCUACCAAGGCAACGAUCUUUAGCUGGUCUGAGAGGACGAUCAGCCACAUUGGGACUGAGACACGGCCCAGACUUCUACGGAAGGCAGCAGUUAGGAAUAUUGGACAAUGGGGGCAACCCUGAUCCAGCUAUACCGCGUGUGUGAAGAAGGCCCUAGGGUUGUAAAGCACUUUAAGCAGGGAAGAAGUAUAGUAAGUUAAUAUCUUACUAUAUUGACGUUACCUGAAGAAUAAGGACCGGCUAACUCCGUGCCAGCAGCCGCGGUAAUACGGAGGGUCCAAGCGUUAAUCGGAAUUACUGGGCGUAAAGCGCGCGUAGGCGGUUUAAUAAGUUGUAUGUGAAAGCCCUGGGCUCAACCUAGGAACUGCAUACAAAACUAUUAAGCUAGAGGACGAGAGAGGAGAGUAGAAUUUCAGGUGUAGCGGUGAAAUGCGUAGAUAUCUGAAGGAAUACCAAUGGCGAAGGCAGCUCUCUGGAUCGUUUCUGACGCUAAGGUGCGAAAGCGUGGGUAGCAAACAGGAUUAGAUACCCUGGUAGUCCACGCCGUAAACGAUGAUAACUAGCCGUUGGGCAGAUUUAACUGUUCAGUGGCACAGCUAACGCAUUAAGUUAUCCGCCUGGGGAGUACGGCCGCAAGGCUAAAACUCAAAUGAAUUGACGGGGGCCCGCACAAGUGGUGGAGCAUGUGGUUUAAUUCGAUGCAACGCGAAGAACCUUACCAACCUUUGAAAUCCAGAGAAGUCACCAGAGAUGGAGAUGUGCCUUCGGGAACUCUGUGACAGGUGUUGCAUGGCUGUCGUCAGCUCGUGUCGUGAGAUGUAUGGUUAAGUCCAGUAACGAGCGCAACCCCUAUCCUUAUUUGCCAGCGCGUAAAGGCGGGAACUAUAGGGAGACUGCCGGUCAAAAACCGGAGGAAGGCGGGGACGAGGUCAAGUCAUCAUGGCCCUUAUAGGUUGGGCUACACACGUGCUACAAUGGGAUGUACAGAGGGACGCCAAAGCGCAAGCUGGAGCCAAACCCUUAAAGCAUUUCGUAGUCCGGAUUGGAGUCUGCAACUCGACUCCAUGAAGUCGGAAUCACUAGUAAUCGCGAAUCAGAAUGUCGCGGUGAAUACGUUCUCGGGCCUUGUACACACCGCCCGUCAUAUCAUGGAAGUGGGUUGCACCAGAAGUGGUUAGUCUAACCUUAGGGAAGACGAUCACCACGGUGUGAUUCAUGACUGGGAUAAAGUCGUAACAAGGUAGCCCUAGGGGAACCUGGGGCUGGAUCACCUCCUUAAA
Molecule: ribosomal RNA, 1561 nt
Filed under: Gammaproteobacteria bacterium
Lineage: Bacteria; Pseudomonadati; Pseudomonadota; Gammaproteobacteria
Description: bacterial SSU rRNA
Rfam family: Bacterial small subunit ribosomal RNA
Source: RNAcentral